RNAcentral lists this ribosomal RNA (2900 nucleotides) under Klebsiella pneumoniae. Its description in RNAcentral is "23S ribosomal RNA". It matches the Rfam family "Bacterial large subunit ribosomal RNA". Lineage: Bacteria; Pseudomonadati; Pseudomonadota; Gammaproteobacteria; Enterobacterales; Enterobacteriaceae. The record is from RNAcentral.
UUAAGCGACUAAGCGUACACGGUGGAUGCCCUGGCAGUCAGAGGCGAUGAAGGACGUGCUAAUCUGCGAAAAGCGUCGGUAAGGUGAUAUGAACCGUUAUAACCGGCGAUGUCCGAAUGGGGAAACCCAGUGCAAUUCGUUGCACUAUCGUUAACUGAAUACAUAGGUUAACGAGGCGAACCGGGGGAACUGAAACAUCUAAGUACCCCGAGGAAAAGAAAUCAACCGAGAUUCCCCCAGUAGCGGCGAGCGAACGGGGAGCAGCCCAGAGUCUGAAUCAGCUUGUGUGUUAGUGGAACGGUCUGGAAAGUCCGACGGUACAGGGUGAUAGUCCCGUACACCAAAAUGCACAGGUUGUGAACUCGAAGAGUAGGGCGGGACACGUGGUAUCCUGUCUGAAUAUGGGGGGACCAUCCUCCAAGGCUAAAUACUCCUGACUGACCGAUAGUGAACCAGUACCGUGAGGGAAAGGCGAAAAGAACCCCGGCGAGGGGAGUGAAAAAGAACCUGAAACCGUGUACGUACAAGCAGUGGGAGCACCUUCGGGUGUGACUGCGUACCUUUUGUAUAAUGGGUCAGCGACUUAUAUUCUGUAGCAAGGUUAACCGUAUAGGGGAGCCGCAGGGAAACCGAGUCUUAACUGGGCGUUAAGUUGCAGGGUAUAGACCCGAAACCCGGUGAUCUAGCCAUGGGCAGGUUGAAGGUUGGGUAACACUAACUGGAGGACCGAACCGACUAAUGUUGAAAAAUUAGCGGAUGACUUGUGGCUGGGGGUGAAAGGCCAAUCAAACCGGGAGAUAGCUGGUUCUCCCCGAAAGCUAUUUAGGUAGCGCCUCGUGAACUCAUCUUCGGGGGUAGAGCACUGUUUCGGCUAGGGGGUCAUCCCGACUUACCAACCCGAUGCAAACUACGAAUACCGAAGAAUGUUAUCACGGGAGACACACGGCGGGUGCUAACGUCCGUCGUGAAGAGGGAAACAACCCAGACCGCCAGCUAAGGUCCCAAAGUCAUGGUUAAGUGGGAAACGAUGUGGGAAGGCACAGACAGCCAGGAUGUUGGCUUAGAAGCAGCCAUCAUUUAAAGAAAGCGUAAUAGCUCACUGGUCGAGUCGGCCUGCGCGGAAGAUGUAACGGGGCUAAACCAUGCACCGAAGCUGCGGCAGCGACACUAUGUGUUGUUGGGUAGGGGAGCGUUCUGUAAGCCUGCGAAGGUGACCUGUGAGGGUUGCUGGAGGUAUCAGAAGUGCGAAUGCUGACAUAAGUAACGAUAAAGCGGGUGAAAAGCCCGCUCGCCGGAAGACCAAGGGUUCCUGUCCAACGUUAAUCGGGGCAGGGUGAGUCGACCCCUAAGGCGAGGCCGAAAGGCGUAGUCGAUGGGAAACAGGUUAAUAUUCCUGUACUUGGUGUUACUGCGAAGGGGGGACGGAGAAGGCUAUGUUAGCCGGGCGACGGUUGUCCCGGUUUAAGCAUGUAGGCUGAUUGUCCAGGCAAAUCCGGAUAAUCAAGGCUGAGGUGUGAUGACGAGGCACUACGGUGCUGAAGUAACAAAUGCCCUGCUUCCAGGAAAAGCCUCUAAGCAUCAGGUAACAUCAAAUCGUACCCCAAACCGACACAGGUGGUCAGGUAGAGAAUACCAAGGCGCUUGAGAGAACUCGGGUGAAGGAACUAGGCAAAAUGGUGCCGUAACUUCGGGAGAAGGCACGCUGGUGUGUAGGUGAAGUCCCUGCGGAUGGAGCUGAGACCAGUCGAAGAUACCAGCUGGCUGCAACUGUUUAUUAAAAACACAGCACUGUGCAAACACGAAAGUGGACGUAUACGGUGUGACGCCUGCCCGGUGCCGGAAGGUUAAUUGAUGGGGUUAUCCGUAAGGAGAAGCUCUUGAUCGAAGCCCCGGUAAACGGCGGCCGUAACUAUAACGGUCCUAAGGUAGCGAAAUUCCUUGUCGGGUAAGUUCCGACCUGCACGAAUGGCGUAAUGAUGGCCAGGCUGUCUCCACCCGAGACUCAGUGAAAUUGAACUCGCUGUGAAGAUGCAGUGUACCCGCGGCAAGACGGAAAGACCCCGUGAACCUUUACUAUAGCUUGACACUGAACAUUGAGCCUUGAUGUGUAGGAUAGGUGGGAGGCUUUGAAGCGUGGACGCCAGUCUGCGUGGAGCCAACCUUGAAAUACCACCCUUUAAUGUUUGAUGUUCUAACGUUGGCCCCUUACCGGGGUUGCGGACAGUGUCUGGUGGGUAGUUUGACUGGGGCGGUCUCCUCCCAAAGCGUAACGGAGGAGCACGAAGGUUAGCUAAUCCUGGUCGGACAUCAGGAGGUUAGUGCAAUGGCAUAAGCUAGCUUGACUGCGAGCGUGACGGCGCGAGCAGGUGCGAAAGCAGGUCAUAGUGAUCCGGUGGUUCUGAAUGGAAGGGCCAUCGCUCAACGGAUAAAAGGUACUCCGGGGAUAACAGGCUGAUACCGCCCAAGAGUUCAUAUCGACGGCGGUGUUUGGCACCUCGAUGUCGGCUCAUCACAUCCUGGGGCUGAAGUAGGUCCCAAGGGUAUGGCUGUUCGCCAUUUAAAGUGGUACGCGAGCUGGGUUUAGAACGUCGUGAGACAGUUCGGUCCCUAUCUGCCGUGGGCGCUGGAGAAUUGAGGGGGGCUGCUCCUAGUACGAGAGGACCGGAGUGGACGCAUCACUGGUGUUCGGGUUGUCAUGCCAAUGGCACUGCCCGGUAGCUAAAUGCGGAAGAGAUAAGUGCUGAAAGCAUCUAAGCACGAAACUUGCCCCGAGAUGAGUUCUCCCUGAGACUUUAAGUCUCCUGAAGGAACGUUAAAGACGAUGACGUUGAUAGGCCGGGUGUGUAAGCGCAGCGAUGCGUUGAGCUAACCGGUACUAAUGAACCGUGAGGCUUAACCUU